Molecule: ribosomal RNA, 207 nt
Filed under: uncultured bacterium
Lineage: Bacteria
Description: partial 16S ribosomal RNA
Rfam family: Bacterial small subunit ribosomal RNA
Source: RNAcentral
CAUGCAGGCGGUUUAUCAAGUAGGAUGUGAAAGCCCUCGGCUUAACCGAGGAACUGCAUCGGAAACUGUUUUUCUUGAGUGCAGAAGAGGAGAGUGGAACUCCAUGUGUAGCGGUGGAAUGCGUAGAUAUAUGGAAGAACACCAGUGGCGAAGGCGGCUCUCUGGUCUGCAACUGACGCUGAGGCUCGAAAGCAUGGGUAGCGAACA